UACAAUUGUACAGUAAAGUAAGUUAACCGUAGUGGCAGAGCCUGUCUUCUCUAGACAGAGAGAUCCCCGUUUGCCGAUAAACUAAAACGACUAAAUCACCUUCAACAAAUCUAACAACAAAACGACACCGUAUCAAGGCUCCAGAUCCUAAUCUCUCUCUCUCUCUCUCUCUCUCUCUCUCUCGCAAUGGUGAAGUCGCUUGAGCAUCCAUGGAUCCUCAACGCACUGCCCCUCUUAGUCGUUAUUCUCAUCGCAGCUCACGUCUUCGCCUUGGUAUAUUGGAUUUACAGAUUGGCCACUGAGAAUAAGCCCCGCCCCAUACAGCAGCAGCAGCUGCAGCAGCAACUCGGCGACAUCCAGAGACGAAAGGCUCACUGAGAAUCAACAAAACCUUGCUUGCAUUUGCCACCAUUCUGCAAUUUCGAACUUCUCAAGGCCUGAUUUGUAAAUUUAACUUAAAGCAUCAGUCAAUGUUGCUUCCUUCCACACAAUCACCAAGCAAGACGUACCAAAGAGUGACAAUGCCAUAUAGGAAUAAAGGGAUACCAUAGAUGUUUCAGAUUAAGAAAUGAUGAAAGUUUGCAGUGGCACUCUUACAUGGUGUAAGGUAGCUUGAUCAUUUUGCUUAACAAAUGUCACAAGAAUAUGAUAGAGCUAUGAGAAUGAGAUCUUUAUUUGUACUAAAGUGUUAAAAUGAAGGUGUAAUAUAGCCUAAAUAGUUAGUUGCAGUGAUGUGCAUGUUGUUGU
This is a long non-coding RNA of Arachis duranensis, 747 nucleotides long. RefSeq lists it as uncharacterized. NCBI's taxonomy places the organism in Eukaryota, Viridiplantae, Streptophyta, Magnoliopsida, Fabales, Fabaceae. The record is from RefSeq and is a predicted model, not a curated record. The transcript is spliced from 4 exons.